Oncorhynchus keta (chum salmon) is the source of this 3904-nucleotide long non-coding RNA. RefSeq lists it as uncharacterized. NCBI's taxonomy places the organism in Eukaryota, Metazoa, Chordata, Actinopteri, Salmoniformes, Salmonidae. The transcript is spliced from 6 exons. The record is from RefSeq and is a predicted model, not a curated record.
GACAGUAGGUUGACACCACUCACCAUGCCGGUGCCGUUACAGUAGUGACAGUAGGUUGACACCACUCACCAUGCCGUUACAGUAGUGACAGUAGGUUGACACCACUCACCAUGCCGUUACAGUAGUGACAGUAGGUUGACACCACUCACCAUGCCGGUGCCGUUACAGUAGUGACAGUAGGUUGACACCACUCACCAUGCCGGUGCCGUUACAGUAGUGACAGUAGGUUGACACCACUCACCAUGCCGGUGCCGUUACAGUAGUGACAGUAGGUUGACACCACUCACCAUGCCGGUGCCGUUACAGUAGUGACAGUAGGUUGACACCACUCACCAUGCCGGUGCCGUUACAGUAGUGACAGUAGGUUGACACCACUCACCAUGCCGGUGCCGUUACAGUAGUGACAGUAGGUUGACACCACUCACCAUGCCGGUGCCGUUACAGUAGUGACAGUAGGUUGACACCACUCACCAUGCCGGUGCUGUUACAGUAGUGACAGUAGGUUGACACCACUCACCAUGCCGGUGCCGUUACAGUAGUGACAGUAGGUUGACACCACUCACCAUGCCGGUGCCGUUACAGUAGUGACAGUAGGUUGACACCACUCACCAUGCCGUUACAGUAGUGACAGUAGGUUGACACCACUCACCAUGCCGGUGCCGUUACAGUAGUGACAGUAGGUUGACACCACUCACCAUGCCGGUGCCGUUACAGUAGUGACAGUAGGUUGACACCACUCACCAUGCCGGUGCCGUUACAGUAGUGACAGUAGGUUGACACCACUCACCAUGCCAGUGCCGUUACAGUAGUGACAGUAGGUUGACACCAGUCACCAUGCCGUUACAGUAGUGACAGUAGGUUGACACCACUCACCAUGCCGGUGCCGUUACAGUAGUGACAGUAGGUUGACACCACUCACCAUGCCGGUGCCGUUACAGUAGUGACAGUAGGUUGACACCACUCACCAUGCCGGUGCCGUUACAGUAGUGACAGUAGGUUGACACCACUCACCAUGCCGGUGCCGUUACAGUAGUGACAGUAGGUUGACACCACUCACCAUGCCGGUGCCGUUACAGUAGUGACAGUAGGUUGACACCACUCACCAUGCCGGUGCCGUUACAGUAGUGACAGUAGGUUGACACCACUCACCAUGCCGGUGCCGUUACAGUAGUGACAGUAGGUUGACACCACUCACCAUGCCGGUGCCGUUACAGUAGUGACAGUAGGUUGACACCACUCACCAUGCCGGUGCCGUUACAGUAGUGACAGUAGGUUGACACCACUCACCAUGCCGGUGCCGUUACAGUAGUGACAGUAGGUUGACACCACUCACCAUGCCGUUACAGUAGUGACAGUAGGUUGACACCACUCACCAUGCCGGUGCCGUUACUGUAGUGACAGUAGGUUGACACCACUCACCAUGCCGGUGCCGUUACAGUAGUGACAGUAGGUUGACACCACUCACCAUGCCGGUGCCGUUACAGUAGUGACAGUAGGUUGACACCACUCACCAUGCCGGUGCCGUUACAGUAGUGACAGUAGGUUGACACCACUCACCAUGCCGGUGCCGUUACUGUAGUGACAGUAGGUUGACACCACUCACCAUGCCGGUGCCGUUACUGUAGUGACAGUAGGUUGACACCACUCACCAUGCCGGUGCCGUUACAGUAGUGACAGUAGGUUGACACCACUCACCAUGCCUUUACAGUAGUGACAGUAGGUUGACACCACUCACCAUGCCGGUGCCGUUACAGUAGUGACAGUAGGUUGACACCACUCACCAUGCCGGUGCCGUUACAGUAGUGACAGUAGGUUGACACCACUCACCAUGCCGUUACAGUAGUGACAGUAGGUUGACACCACUCACCAUGCCGUUACAGUAGUGACAGUAGGUUGACACCACUCACCAUGCCGGUGCCGUUACAGUAGUGACAGUAGGUUGACACCACUCACCAUGCCGGUGCCGUUACAGUAGUGACAGUAGGUUGACACCACUCACCAUGCCGGUGCCUUUACAGUAGUGACAGUAGGUUGACACCACUCACCAUGCCGGUGCCGUUACUGUAGUGACAGUAGGUUGACACCACUCACCAUGCCGGUGCCGUUACAGUAGUGACAGUAGGUUGACACCACUCACCAUGCCGGUGCCGUUACAGUAGUGACAGUAGGUUGACACCACUCACCAUGCCAGUGCCGUUACAGUAGUGACAGUAGGUUGACACCAGUCACCAUGCCGUUACAGUAGUGACAGUAGGUUGACACCACUCACCAUGCCGGUGCCGUUACUGUAGUGACAGUAGGUUGACACCACUCACCAUGCCGGUGCCGUUACAGUAGUGACAGUAGGUUGACACCACUCACCAUGCCGGUGCCGUUACAGUAGUGACAGUAGGUUGACACCACUCACCAUGCCGGUGCCGUUACAGUAGUGACAGUAGGUUGACACCACUCACCAUGCCGUUACAGUAGUGACAGUGGGUUGACACCACUCACCAUGCCGGUACCUUUACAGUAGUGACAGUAGGUUGACACCACUCACCAUGCCGUUACAGUAGUGACAGUAGGUUGACACCACUCACCAUGCCGUUACAGUAGUGACAGUAGGUUGACACCACUCACCAUGCCGGUGCCGUUACAGUAGUGACAGUAGGUUGACACCACUCACCAUGCCGGUGCCGUUACAGUAGUGACAGUAGGUUGACACCACUCACCAUGCCGGUGCCGUUACAGUAGUGACAGUAGGUUGACACCACUCACCAUGCCGUUACAGUAGUGACAGUAGGUUGACACCACUCACCAUGCCGGUGCCGUUACAGUAGUGACAGUAGGUUGACACCACUCACCAUGCCGUUACAGUAGUGACAGUAGGUUGACACCACUCACCAUGCCGGUGCCGUUACAGUAGUGACAGUAGGUUGACACCACUCACCAUGCCGGUGCCGUUACAGUAGUGACAGUAGGUUGACACCACUCACCAUGCCUUUACAGUAGUGACAGUAGGUUGACACCACUCACCAUGCCGGUGCCGUUACAGUAGUGACAGUAGGUUGACACCACUCACCAUGCCGGUGCCGUUACAGUAGUGACAGUAGGUUGACACCACUCACCAUGCCGGUGCCGUUACAGUAGUGACAGUAGGUUGACACCACUCACCAUGCCGGUGCCGUUACAGUAGUGACAGUAGGUUGACACCACUCACCAUGCCUUUACAGUAGUGACAGUAGGUUGACACCACUCACCAUGCCGGUGCCGUUACAGUAGUGACAGUAGGUUGACACCACUCACCAUGCCGUUACAGUAGUGACAGUAGGUUGACACCACUCACCAUGCCGGUGCCGUUACAGUAGUGACAGUAGGUUGACACCACUCACCAUGCCGGUGCCGUUACAGUAGUGACAGUAGGUUGACACCACUCACCAUGCCUUUACAGUAGUGACAGUAGGUUGACACCACUCACCAUGCCGGUGCCGUUACAGUAGUGACAGUAGGUUGACACCACUCACCAUGCCGGUGCCGUUACAGUAGUGACAGUAGGUUGACACCACUCACCAUGCCGGUGCCGUUACAGUAGUGACAGUAGGUUGACACCACUCACCAUGCCGGUGCCGUUACAGUAGUGACAGUAGGUUGACACCACUCACCAUGCCGGUGCCGUUACAGUAGUGACAGUAGGUUGACACCACUCACCAUGCCGGUGCCGUUACAGUAGUGACAGUAGGUUGACACCACUCACCAUGCCGGUGCCGUUACAGUAGUGACAGUAGGUUGACACCACUCACCAUGCCGGUGCCGUUACAGUAGUGACAGUAGGUUGACACCACUCACCAUGCCGGUGCCGUUACAGUAGUGACAGUAGGUUGACACCACUCACCAUGCCGUUACAGUAGUGACAGUAGGUUGACAC